CCUACGGGAGGCAGCAGUGGGGAAUCUUGCGCAAUGGGCGAAAGCCUGACGCAGCAACGCCGCGUGCGGGAAGAAGGCUUUCGGGCUGUAAACCGCUUUCAGCAGGAACGAAAAUGACGGUACCUGCAGAAGAAGGAGCGGCCAACUAUGUGCCAGCAGCCGCGGUGAUACAUAGGCUUCAAGCGUUGUCCGGAUUUAUUGGGCGUAAAGAGUUCGUAGGCGGUCGAGUAAGUCGGGUGUGAAAAUUCUGGGCUCAACCCAGAGACGCCACCCGAUACUGCUUGACUUGAGUUCGAUAGGGGAGUGGGGAAUUCCUAGUGUAGCGGUGAAAUGCGCAGAUAUUAGGAGGAACACCGGUGGCGAAGGCGCCACUCUGGAUCGAUACUGACGCUGAGGAACGAAAGCAUGGGUAGCAAACAGGAUUAGAUACCCUGGUAGUCCAUGCCGUAAACGGUGGGCACUAGGUGUGGGAUUCUAUUAACGAAUUCCGCGCCGUCGCUAACGCAUUAAGUGCCCCGCUGGGGAUCGGNGCAAGCUAAACNCAAGGAUUG
This 551-nucleotide ribosomal RNA is filed under the name uncultured bacterium. RNAcentral's name for it is "bacterial SSU rRNA". It matches the Rfam family "Bacterial small subunit ribosomal RNA", at positions 338 to 912 of the family's 1533-position model. The record is from RNAcentral.